Molecule: ribosomal RNA, 644 nt
Filed under: Escherichia coli
Lineage: Bacteria; Pseudomonadati; Pseudomonadota; Gammaproteobacteria; Enterobacterales; Enterobacteriaceae
Also listed under: 1 other name
Description: bacterial SSU rRNA
Rfam family: Bacterial small subunit ribosomal RNA
Source: RNAcentral
GCAAGGUUAAAACUCAAAUGAAUUGACGGGGGCCCGCACAAGCGGUGGAGCAUGUGGUUUAAUUCGAUGCAACGCGAAGAACCUUACCUGGUCUUGACAUCCACGGAAGUUUUCAGAGAUGAGAAUGUGCCUUCGGGAACCGUGAGACAGGUGCUGCAUGGCUGUCGUCAGCUCGUGUUGUGAAAUGUUGGGUUAAGUCCCGCAACGAGCGCAACCCUUAUCCUUUGUUGCCAGCGGUCCGGCCGGGAACUCAAAGGAGACUGCCAGUGAUAAACUGGAGGAAGGUGGGGAUGACGUCAAGUCAUCAUGGCCCUUACGACCAGGGCUACACACGUGCUACAAUGGCGCAUACAAAGAGAAGCGACCUCGCGAGAGCAAGCGGACCUCAUAAAGUGCGUCGUAGUCCGGAUUGGAGUCUGCAACUCGACUCCAUGAAGUCGGAAUCGCUAGUAAUCGUGGAUCAGAAUGCCACGGUGAAUACGUUCCCGGGCCUUGUACACACCGCCCGUCACACCAUGGGAGUGGGUUGCAAAAGAAGUAGGUAGCUUAACCUUCGGGAGGGCGCUUACCACUUUGUGAUUCAUGACUGGGGUGAAGUCGUAACAAGGUAACCGUAGGGGAACCUGCGGUUGGAUCACCUCCUU